CCCCGAUUUCUUCUUAAUAGGAUUUCACGAGAAUACUUGAACUUAGAAUAAGUAGAUUCUCGCCCGGAUAAAUUAUUAUAUUUCUUUUCGAAAAAGUAUUCCUUUUAAUAAUAGAUUUUAUCAAAUUAUUUGAAGGCAAUGUGCUUAUAUUUUCUAUCUCAAUAAAUUAUUUUGAUGUUGGGCUUUGUAAACAAUUUGCAAAGGCUCACUUAUUUAAGAAGCCCACUAUAUCUUUAAGUGGACCGGAUAUAUAUAUAUAUAUAUAUCUUGAGUUUUUGCAUGAGUUUUUAAUCUAUUACUUGGGGCAGUAGAAUUGACACAUUACAUGAUCAUCAGUAGUUAGUUUUAAUGCAUGAUAGGGGUACUUCCACGUCUUCUUCUUCCUGCCAGUUUCCCCUAUAAAUUUUAGCCAUUCUCGCCCUUUCGAUCACACACGAAGCAGCUUAACUCUUCACCCAACACACAACUCAAAAUCCCAUCUUCUCACCAAGAGUAGCAGGCGACAGUUCGUAGCUCAAAAUCACAGCCCUCAAAAUUUACUUCAUAACAGAACUCCUCAUUAAGGUCCACUUGAGAGAAGGAAUUAGCUUUGCUUUUACAAGAAGAGAAUUGUACAUCUUUUAUCUACAGGCUUGUUCUAUCGAGGUUGAGCGGCAGGUGGUGUCGUGCGAGGCUGAGGGAGGAUGUUGCUGUAGUUUCAUAUAAUAAUUUCUGCUGCCAUAAUAUUCACUUAGGUGGAUAUCUUUUGAGAUUGACUCUUUAAAUAUUCUUAGCCUAAUUAUUAUGAACUCUUUUGGCAAUCGCAUUUCUAGCAACUGAACCUCGCAUAUAUGUAUGUCUAGUUUGAAGUGUUAUCUUGUUGUCUCAGACCUCCGAACUUUUGAUCCUGGUUGGGAGAAUUUCUAUCUAAGUUGUCGUAUUUAUUAUCCUUCAAUUCCGAAAUUCCUUUA
Long non-coding RNA from Salvia miltiorrhiza (redroot sage), 950 nucleotides. RefSeq lists it as uncharacterized. NCBI's taxonomy places the organism in Eukaryota, Viridiplantae, Streptophyta, Magnoliopsida, Lamiales, Lamiaceae. The record is from RefSeq and is a predicted model, not a curated record. The transcript is spliced from 3 exons.